This 277-nucleotide ribosomal RNA is filed under the name uncultured bacterium. RNAcentral describes it as "partial 16S ribosomal RNA". It matches the Rfam family "Bacterial small subunit ribosomal RNA", at positions 333 to 607 of the family's 1533-position model. The record is from RNAcentral.
UGAGUCCUACGGGGCGCAGCAGUGAGGAAUAUUGGUCAAUGGUCGGGAGACUGAACCAGCCAAGCCGCGUGAGGGAUGAAGGUACAGAGUAUCGUAAACCUCUUUUGUCAGGGAACAAAGGCGGGGACGCGUCCCCGGAUGAGUGUACCUGAAGAAAAAGCAUCGGCUAACUCCGUGCCAGCAGCCGCGGUAAUACGGAGGAUGCGAGCGUUAACCGGAUUUAUUGGGUUUAAAGGGUGCGCAGGCGGUCGGUUAAGUCAGCGGUCAAAGACCGGGG